Molecule: long non-coding RNA, 1450 nt
Filed under: Lactuca sativa (garden lettuce)
Lineage: Eukaryota; Viridiplantae; Streptophyta; Magnoliopsida; Asterales; Asteraceae
Description: long non-coding RNA (LSAT_LNC005533)
Source: RNAcentral
ACAUAUAUUAUAAUGUGAUGAUAAAAUAUGUAUUAAUGCUCAUGAUCGUAUUCACAUGUGAGCAAGACGACAGAAAUUAAUAAACAUAUAUAACUUUAUAUAUAUCAGCAUCUAAGAAGAUAAAAACAGUAAUGGAUAUAAAAUGAAUAAUUAAAUGGAUUGUGUAUGAGUGAGACAGGCUUGGAGGAGUCCCCCGCGUGUUUGGAUAGACAUCAAAGGGGCAGAAGGCGCAGGGCAUUGGUUUCAUUCAGAUAGAGAAAACCUGGUUCCACCAAUCAGAAAAUCCCUCUGAAUUUUAUCUGUUUUUGCCUCCAUUUUCUUGAAAAUGUUUGAUGGGCUUUGGGUUUAUGACCCUUCUUCCACCUAAAUUCGUGAUCCAAAGUUUCUCUCUUUUCAUCUCUUGGAUUCCAUUCACUAAUUUAUAUAGGGGAAGUGAGUAUGAAAACCAUAGAUGUACAACCUCAUAGUUUUGUUAAUCAACUCAAAAGUAGGGUUGUAGGGGAAAUGGAAUUCUAACUAAUUGUGUCGAUGUUUUCUUUAUUGUACUCACAGAAAGAGGGUUCCNNNNNNNNNNNNNNNNNNNNNNNNNNNNNNNNNNNNNNNNNGCUUUGUGAAUGAGGCGUACUAGCGGUAAGACGACUUUAAUCUUAUACAUACAUACAUAUAUAUAUAUAUAUAUAUAUAUAUAUAUAUAUAUAUUUUUCAAGAUUGCUGACUAGCGUUGCCCUUCUCUGAUGCAGCCGCAGACAAAAGCAAGUAUUACUCAAAUCUCCGUGGAAAGAGAUUGCGAAGGUGUUUGGAAAUGUAUGUUACAAUAUCAAUCUUAGGGGUUUGUGUGCUGCGGGUGUCCAACCAUACCGUAUGUGCCGUUUGAGAUCUUUGGAAACCGCAAACUACAUUGUGAAGAAUCUAAACUGCAUUAUGUGGUGCGGUACCGAUGGUUUUGAUACGGUUUGUUGAAUAACUAAAAAGAAAUAGUUUUACAUGCAUUAGUUGUCUUUAUAUCUUAAAUAUAAAUUAUUUCCAAUAGUAAAAAGCAACUACAAACAUUGUCCAAAACAACAUCAAUGGAUCAAAUUAGACACUUAUAAUUUUAUAAUUUUACAGAAACCAACAUCAGCCAAUAAUAGCAAAAAAUCAAGCAAAAUAGUAGCUACAAUUUUAUAGCAACUAACGGAUUCUUGAGAUUUUGAUCAUUAAUUUGGUGUUAUAUCUAACUAUCUAUCUCUUACAAACGACUAUUUUGAACCAUAUUCAUUUAAAACUUCUAAACUCUUCAACUUAGAUAUUUGAAUGAUAAUACAAUUCAAGAGUUUUUUAACUUAUGAUAUCUAAUUGGUAUUUGUGAAAGAUGAUUGGUUAUUAGAAAUUCUAUCUAUAUAUCUAUAAUAAUAGAGACACAAUUCCAAGCUCCAUAUUGAUUUGAAACUCUCAUCUCAUAAUUACAAGC